GUGGCAUCGUUACGAGAAGUGCCGGGGCUGUCGCUAACUCUGUGCACGCCCUGGUGCUCUCUCACAAAAUCCAUCUCACCCCCUUGGGCAUCACCGCGUGGGUGCUCUCCUUUUGGUUCGUUCCCAAAGGGGGGCGUUUGGGUUUUUAUACAAAACCACUGCAUGUGUAGAAUGUCUUACUAUUUGCGAUAAUGCGCAAUCAAUACAACUUUCAACAACGGAUCUCUUGGCUCUCGCAUCGAUGAAGAACGCAGCGAAAUGCGAUACGUAAUGUGAAUUGCAGAAUUCAGUGAAUCAUCGAAUCUUUGAACGCACCUUGCGCCCCUUGGAAUUCCGAGGGGCACACCCGUUUGAGUGUCGUGAACAUCCUUCAACCUUUCUUGGUUUCUUAACCGAGGAAGGCUUGGACUUUGGGGGUCUUUCAUUGCUGGCCUCUUUGAAGCCAGCUCCUCCUAAAUGGAUUAGUGUGGUCUGCUUUGCCGAUCCUUGACGUGAUAAGAUGUUUCUACGUCUUGGGUUUCGCACUGUCGCUUUAGACCCCGCUUCUAACCGUCUUGCAUUCAAGACAGAGUUUUAAACCUUGACCUCAAAUCGGGUGAGACUACCCGCUGAACUUAAGCAUAUCAUAAACCGGAGGAAAUUUGAUCCCAAAUUUAUUUUGGUUGGGAAAAGGAUUUUGGACUUGGAGGUUCCAUGCUCGCUUUCUUUUGAAAGCGAGCUCCUCUCAAAUGAAUCAGUGGGGUCCGCUUUGCCGAUCCUUGACGUGAUAUGAUGCUUCUACUUUUGGAUUUGGCACUGUCCCUUGCACGCCUGCUCCUAACCGUCCCCAUGGACAAUGAUCGUGCUCCGGUCGACCGUCGUCUACGUUGGCAGGCGGAUGCUGAACCCAAGAAAAGAAACCUUGACCUCAAAUCGGGUGAGACUACCCGCUGAACUUAACCAUAUCAUGAACCGGAGGAGGAAAA
RNAcentral lists this ribosomal RNA (965 nucleotides) under Russula sp. HMAS187081. RNAcentral describes it as "eukaryotic LSU rRNA". The stretch from base 207 to 360 matches the Rfam family "5.8S ribosomal RNA". The record is from RNAcentral. Lineage: Eukaryota; Fungi; Basidiomycota; Agaricomycetes; Russulales; Russulaceae.